CAGUGUGACUCGUCACACUAUCAUUAACUGAAUCCAUAGGUUAAUGAGGCGAACCGGGGGAACUGAAACAUCUAAGUACCCCGAGGAAAAGAAAUCAACCGAGAUUCCCCCAGUAGCGGCGAGCGAACGGGGAGGAGCCCAGAGCCUGAAUCAGCAUGUGUGUUAGUGGAAGCGUCUGGAAAGGCGCGCGAUACAGGGUGACAGCCCCGUACACAAAAGCGCAUGUGCUGUGAGCUCGAUGAGUAGGGCGGGACACGUGGUAUCCUGUCUGAAUAUGGGGGGACCAUCCUCCAAGGCUAAAUACUCCUGACUGACCGAUAGUGAACCAGUACCGUGAGGGAAAGGCGAAAAGAACCCCGGCGAGGGGAGUGAAAAAGAACCUGAAACCGUGUACGUACAAGCAGUGGGAGCACAGGUUUACCUGUGUGACUGCGUA
Molecule: ribosomal RNA, 436 nt
Filed under: Salmonella enterica
Lineage: Bacteria; Pseudomonadati; Pseudomonadota; Gammaproteobacteria; Enterobacterales; Enterobacteriaceae
Description: partial 23S ribosomal RNA
Rfam family: Bacterial large subunit ribosomal RNA
Source: RNAcentral